GACGAACGCUGGCGGCGUGCUUAACACAUGCAAGUCGAACGGAAAGGCCCAGCUUGUUGGGUGCUCGAGUGGCGAACGGGUGAGUAACACGCGGGUGAACUGUCCCUAACUCUGGGAUAAGCCUGGGAAACUGGGUGUAAUAUCGGAUAGGACAAUCGCUGAGUGUUGGUUGUGGAUAGAUUUUUUGGUUGGGGAUGGGUGCGCGGCCUAUCAGCUUGUUGGUGGGGUAGUGGCUUACCAAGGCGUCGACGGGUAGCCGGCCUGCGAGGGUGGACGGCCACAUUGGGACUGAGAUACGGCCCAGACUCCUACGGGAGGCAGCAGUGGGGAAUAUUGCACAAUGGGCGCAAGCCUGAUGCAGCAACGCCGCGUGGGGGAUGACGGCCUUCGGGUUGUAAACCUCUUUCGCCAGGGACGAAGCGUUAGUGACGGUACCUGUAUAAGAAGCACCGGCUAACUACGUG
RNAcentral lists this ribosomal RNA (464 nucleotides) under uncultured bacterium. RNAcentral describes it as "partial 16S ribosomal RNA". It matches the Rfam family "Bacterial small subunit ribosomal RNA", at positions 28 to 507 of the family's 1533-position model. The record is from RNAcentral.